CUCAUAGCGUAUAUUUAAGUUGUUGCAGUUAAAAAGCUCGUAGUUGGAUUUCGGGUGGGGGGCGCCGGUCCGCUUCGGUGUGCACUGGCGGCCCACAUCUUUCUGUCGGGGAUACGCUCUGGUCUUCACUGAUCGGACGUAGAGUCGGCGCUGUUACUUUGAAAAAAUUAGAGUGUUCAAAGCAGGCUUUCGCUUGAAUACAUUAGCAUGGAAUAACAUGAUAGGACUCCGCUCCCAUUGUGUUGGUCUUCGGGACUGGAGUAAUGAUUAAGAGGGACAGUUGGGGGCAUUCGUAUUUCAUUGUCAGAGGUGAAAUUCUUGGAUUUAUGAAAGACGAACUUCUGCGAAAGCAUUUGCCAAGGAUGUUUUCAUUAAUCAAGAACGAAAGUUGGGGGCUCGAAGAUGAUUAGAUACCAUCGUAGUCUCAACCAUAAACGAUGCCGACUAGGGAUUAGCGGAUGUUAAUUUGAUGACUUCGCUAGCACCUUGUGAGAAAUCAAAGUCUUUGGGUUCCGGGGGGAGUAUGGUCGCAAGGCUGAAACUUAAAGGAAUUGACGGAAGGGCACCACCAUGGCGUGGAGCCUGCGGCUUAAUUUGACUCAACACGGGGAAACUUACCAGGUCCAGACACAGUAAUGAUUGACAGAUUGAGAGCUCUUUCUUGAUUCUGUGG
This 673-nucleotide ribosomal RNA is filed under the name uncultured eukaryote. RNAcentral describes it as "SSU rRNA". It matches the Rfam family "Eukaryotic small subunit ribosomal RNA", at positions 591 to 1273 of the family's 1831-position model. The record is from RNAcentral.